This is a long non-coding RNA of Lagenorhynchus albirostris (white-beaked dolphin), 5240 nucleotides long. RefSeq lists it as uncharacterized. The transcript has 2 exons. The record is from RefSeq and is a predicted model, not a curated record. Lineage: Eukaryota; Metazoa; Chordata; Mammalia; Artiodactyla; Delphinidae.
CACACAACAGGUUAAAAAAAAACACACCCUGACAGCUAACGAAUAUCUAUACACAAUCACUCUACAGUAAUGUUUGUUAUUAAAUUAAGAUGUAAUGACCUGGUUAACCCACUCUAAAUCUUUAAGAUGGAGAAAUACGACAGCAGCAGGUAGUUAUAUGCAUGAGCCAAUGUUAAUGUAAUACAGAAAGUGGAGGCAUUUACUGAUUAAAGCUCCACACAGACCCGCACAAUGAGGGACUAGCAAUUCUUAUUGCAAGCCCAGCAACUUAAGUCCACACCUGGUAAAUGACCAGCUGAUUGGAAGACCUGUAUUCUAGAUAGACAAGUACAAGUUAGUGAAAAGAGAAUACAUGCACCUAAUAGUUAGACUGAUCCUGCAGUCAUACUUUCCCUGUGCAAUACCAUAAAAUGGAAGAUCUUCCUCAACUAUAGGAUUUAGACAACAUUUCUAAUACCAACAUGGACAUUAGUGUUAAGUGCAGCUCAAUUAACUACACCGAAAAAAACUAUUCCAGGACUUCAGAACAGAAGCACAGGAAUGAAAUACAUAUAAUAAAAUAACCUCAGCAUAAUUUGCGAUAUACCACACUAGGAACAGGAAACUACUUUAAUAAGAGAACUUUUGGAACUGUACAUACACAGGGCUAACAAUGUUAGAUAAUCCAGAUUUUUAUGCUCAUGAUACACAUAAAAGUUUCUCAAUUAUUGGAUAAUCUAUUUCAUAUUAUGGAAGCAUAUCUUUCUUAAGACUCACUGAUAUAUAUUAUACUGAUGCAAAUAUUAAGUAGGGCAUAAAAAUAAAAUUUAUCAAAGAUAGAUUUUUAUGUACUCAUAUUCAGUCCUUUCAUAGCCUCUCUCAUUUAGCAAAGAAAAUGACAAAGCAAAUAGAUCAGGCGUGCACUCCCUGAACUCCUGACUAUACAGAUGGUAGUGCAACCAUUUCUCCAUCCAGUUCAAACUCCUCUGUUCCAUCCGGUGAAAAAAGAUAAGUUGGUGGUUUCCAUGGAGAUUCUUCAAGGCAGGAUGGAUAAAGUUUCCCCACAGUGCAUCGAAAAUCUCUCCCUAAGUCCCACAGUACACGUUCAGAUAUAUGCUGCCGCAGAGACCACCGGUCAAGUUCCAGAUCAUAUUGGUAAGUGACAUAUUUAGCUCUCUCAUUUAAGUGGGUUUCUCGCAUAAACACACAUAGAGAAUUUGAGAUCACAACAGCUCUAACACAGGGAUCUGAGUACCUCUUAGCAGGGAUGUUGGCUGCCAUUUUCCACUCAUUUUUAUUCACAUCAUAGAUUUCCACAGUUACUGAAGACCCAUCUACAGUGCCAGAGGGGAGUCUUAUGCCAGAAUUGGUAGCAAUGUGCAACCCUCCAAUAUAGAAAAUUUUAUCACCGAAAGCUGCAGCUGAAGCAAAAGACCUGCUAGUCUGUCUCAUGGCCAUUUCUACCCAUGAAUCAGACCUUGGAAAAUAACAAUACAUGAGGUUCAGUGUCAUCACGUAAAUGCAGUCAUGAACCACAACUGCUGCACUCCACUGCCAAGCACAAGGCAAAGGGCUUACCAUUGUCCAUUCAUCUUUCUCAGUGUCAUAUCUUUCUACGGUCCUCCGGUUAAGUUCUCCACCUACACUAUCUCCUCCAAUUGCAUAGAUAUAGCCUUCACAGCAAACCAAAGAUGGCUUUACGCGGACAAAAAGCAUCGGGGUCUUUGGAAACCAGAGGAACUUGACCACCUGCUAUAUAGAUGUCAUUAUCGGGAGUUACAACGGUCCCAACCUUAUGUAAAUCAGCUGGUGGGCUGCAUAGCUUGUAAACUUUUUCUGCUUGGGGGCUGUAACAGACAGAAGAGUAAAGACUACAAGGAUUUUCUGAAGAUGCUUCAAUGAAAAUCAUCAUCUCUUCUUUAGUCAUUCCAAGUCUUGGUUUGAAAAACUUGGGCAUGGACUUAUACAGACCUUGAACAACUACAGACUUAUCAUUGGGUGGCAGACCUUGAAACCAAGCUCUCUGUGUUACUUCUGAAAGUGCAUCAAUUCUGAUUUGGCUAAGAACUGAAGACAAAUACUGGGAUCGUGAUUCUGUGUUGUACUCUAGCCACAGCAUAGCAGCUUCACGAACUGUCUCCUCCUUUUCUACGUUCAAAUUGUCACUACUGAGAAUGUCUAUCAGUAAGUCAUGUGACAGCUGCAUGAAAGCUUCCUGGUGAUACACAGCAGUGAACUUGUGCUCCACCAUCCUUUUAGCACUUUGUUUUAAUUCCUCACAACUGAACAGAUCAGCAAAACUCAACAAUCGCACACAGUUCUCUGCAUUUAUCUUUUUAAUUAAAUAUUCUCGACAACGUUGUAACACAUCUUCUACCUAAAAUAGAAGGGAAAAAAAAGGCUGAUAAAGGCAGGCUAGACAAAUUUUAUUUUUAUGUAACACACAGGUAUAUUAAUCAGAUCCCUAUACUAUAGUUUUUAUUUUUAGAUACACAUGUUUGGGCUAAGAGAUAAUCUUCCAGUAAUAAUAAAAUUAGAAGACUAUGCAUAGUUUUGCAUUUCGUCUUCCUGUCCAGUGGCCUACUUAACUGCCCUAUUUAGGAGUCAGUAGUAUAACAUUAAAUAGGCUCUUAAAAACCUAAACAGCCUUAAAGGGAAAGGGAAAGAAAUUAAUUCAUGCAUAAAUUAUGUAUUUUUUAAAGCCUAGCAAAAUAUGUAAUUGAGAGAACCAAAUGAGAACAAUGUAAAUCAGUAUAGGAAAUGAUUACUGUUGAGAAGCUGGAAUCUGGUUUUCUUAACAUGGACAAGACAGUCAUAUAGAAGCAGAAAAUCAUACACAAUGCCUAACAGUAGUUAUUAUUUGCCUUUCUUACAUGGAGCAGUAGGAUAACCAAUCAAAAGAAUAUAUUCAUGUGCAAUUACAAAUUACCUAUAUUUAAACGACCCAUCUUAGCCACUCUAACUUUCCUAGAUUUGUUGUUUCUUAAGAAACAGUAGAUCUUGAGUCAGAAGUGCUACCUACUAUACUUAUUCAACGACACAGUGAUUGACUAGAAGCAGUUUGUGAUAAGAAGUCAGGUUGCUUGGAUUCAAAACCUGGAUUGGCCAGUCAACACUUGUACAGUAUCAGACAAGUAGCUUUACUUCUCUAAGCCUCAGGUUUCUCCUGUGUAGGAUGGGGAAAUCCUUCCUUACAAGUGAUUAUUUUAAGAAUUAGAUGAGAACCUAUAUAAAGCAUUAGUACAGAACCUGGCAUAUAAAAACAUCAUUUCAUGUGGUUAAUAGUAAAAGCCAUGUUGGUAGUCAUAAAAUGCCACAUUCCCAGGCUUGCCAGGGCAACUUACUCCCAGAGGCAGAGUGCUGUUUUGCAUUUGGCCAAGCAUAUGCCUAUAGGUUUCAUUAACAUGAUAGAAAAAAAUUAUAAGGAAAGGUAUCACUAUAAUAACAAUGUUCUGGAAUCCAAAUUUCUUAAAAUUCCUCAAUUUUUUAGCAAUUCUAAAAAAACUUGCUUUUAGAAUUGCUAAAAAAUUUAAAAAGGUAAUGAAAACAUAUAAGCUAUGGAAGAAAGACAGUUCUUACAGUAGGCAUUUCUCCCUUUUAGGUUUGGAUUUAGGAUGUGAAUGUCUUCCGUUCUAAAGCACCAGGAAGCUACCAUGACUUCAGUGUCCCCAGAGUUAUAGGUAUAGUAGGACACUGCACAGUUUAUGGGUGGGGGGGGAAGAAUACAGAACUAAAAAGGAAGACAGGUACUUAAGGCAUGGACAGACUGAGUUCUGGUUCCCAGAGUUACACCCAGAAACUGGCAUUCGACCGGCAUCAUUCACAUUUAUUCAGCACACAUUUAUCAAGUACCUACUAGGUAUCAUGAACUGUACUCCCAGAAUUUAACCUUUAAAGUUUCUCCCUUUGGAGAAACUUUAUUUCUCCCUUUGGAAAAAAUGAGGAAAAUAUUUUUAUAUUCCUCUUAAAGUUAAAAGAAAUGUUGAAGGGGGGGCAUUCCCUGGUGGUUCAGUGGUUGAGAUUCUGCACUUCUACUGCAGGGGCCCCAGGUUCAAUCCCUGGUAGGGGAACUAAGAUCCCGCAAGCCACGCGGCACAGCCAAAAAAGAAAAAAAGUUGAAGGGGAAACACAGUGAAAUAGCUUAUCAUAUGUAAAUAUAUCAAUCAUCACUUUUUAUUUUAGUUUAAAUAAUUUUCCUUAAUAGCUCAGUAAGGUCUCAUGGCUAUUAUGAACAUUUAUGUUUGAUAACUUCCAUAAGAAUCUUGACAUUUUCUGUGAAAAAACCAUCAAAAAUUAGCACAUCUAAGCUUCUAGCCAAAAAACUGAAGCACUUAAAUUUAACAAAUGCUGUUAAAAAUUUCUUUUACUUGAAAUCUAAAUCCUAUGGUAUAUUAGGCAGACUAUGAAACUAAUAUGAAAUUUUCACCUAUCUUUUUAGUCAAGUUCCCAUCAUAAAACUAAGUUUAUUAGCUGAUCAAAUCCUAUUGUUUUUCCCUUACGUAUUUUAAAAAGAGUUUUACCUUCUAAAAUCUGCAAUAAAAUUACAUAGCUGUAAGACUGAAAAAACUGCUUACCUGCAGGAAGCAAGCUGUUUCGUAAAGUUGUUCUACAGUGCUGUCAUUUAUUGCCAGGUUACCCGUGUAUGCGUACGUUAUUAUUAUCUGUAAGGUGGCUGAAUCCACAUUCCUCAGGUGUAUGUGUGUCUGUUUGCUUUCACUUAGUCCACUCAUGAACAUGGCCCUAUAGUAGAGAUGGGGAAAACAAAUGUAAGGCUAAAAAGAAAAACUAGACAAUAUGGGAUGUUUAUUUAGGGUAUUUGCUGAUGGACAACUUAUAGGGAAAGCUUUCAAGGGAAACAACAGAAAAUUAUAAUCCAGUGCCAAAGAUAUACCAAACUACUCCACUGUGCCAUUCUCAGUGAUAACAUCAAAACUAAUUUAAUCCUUAUAGUCAUACAGGAAUUCAGCAAUAAAAAGGAACUCUAUUAUACGUGCUACAACACAAACCUCAAAAUGAUUAUGCUCAGUGAAAAAAAGGCAGAUACAAAAGACACAUACUGUAUGAUGUGUAUACAAAUAUAUAUGAGGCAAAUAUAUAGAGGCAGAAGGGAGAUUAGUGGUUGCCUAGGGCUGUGGGUAAGAACAGUGAGUGACUGUAAAUUGGCACAAAGUGAUGGAAAUGUUUCAAAUUAAAUUGUAAAGAUACUAAAAUUCAUUUACUUGUGUGUAAAUUUGAUCUCAAUAAAGCCGUUAAAAAUUUCA